UACCAGCUCUCCGAGUGGUAGGGAUGAUUAUUGGGCUUAAAGCGUCCGUAGCCGGCUUAGCAAGUCUCCUGUUAAAUUCAGCGACCUAAUCGUUGAGCCGCGGGAGAUACUACUAGGCUAGGAGGCGGGAGAGGUCAACGGUACUUCCGGGGUAGGGGUGAAAUCCUAUAAUCCCGGGAGGACCACCAGUGGCGAAGGCUGUUGACUAGAACGCGCCCGACGGUGAGGGACGGAAAGACUGGGGAGGCGAACCGGAAGUUAGAUACCCGGGUAACGGUCCCACGCUGUAAACGAAUGCGAGCUAGGUGUUGGGGUGGGCGUACGUGCCGACUUCAGUAGCCGCCAGGGAAGGCCACUUAAGACUCGCCGCCUGGGGAGGUGCGGCCGCAAGGCUGAAACUUAAAGGAAUUGGCGGGGGAGCACCACAAGGCGUGAAGCUUGCGGUUC
This 447-nucleotide ribosomal RNA is filed under the name uncultured archaeon. RNAcentral describes it as "bacterial SSU rRNA". It matches the Rfam family "Archaeal small subunit ribosomal RNA", at positions 474 to 903 of the family's 1478-position model. The record is from RNAcentral.